RNAcentral lists this ribosomal RNA (440 nucleotides) under uncultured bacterium. RNAcentral's name for it is "partial 16S ribosomal RNA". It matches the Rfam family "Bacterial small subunit ribosomal RNA", at positions 338 to 795 of the family's 1533-position model. The record is from RNAcentral.
CCUACGGGGGGCAGCAGUGGGGGAUAUUGCACAAUGGGGGGAACCCUGAUGCAGCGACGCCGCGUGGGUGAAGAAGCGCCUCGGCGCGUAAAGCCCUGUCAGCAGGGAAGAAAAUGACGGUACCUGAAGAAGAAGCCCCGGCUAACUACGUGCCAGCAGCCGCGGUAAUACGUAGGGGGCAAGCGUUAUCCGGAUUUACUGGGUGUAAAGGGGGCGUAGACGGCUGUGCAAGCCAGAUGUGAAAGCCCGGGGCUCAACCCCGGGACUGCAUUUGGAACUGUGUGGCUGGAGUGUCGGAGAGGCAGGCGGAAUUCCUAGUGUAGCGGUGAAAUGCGUAGAUAUUAGGAGGAACACCAGUGGCGAAGGCGGCCUGCUGGACGAUGACUGACGUUGAGGCUCGAAAGCGUGGGGAGCAAACAGGAUUAGAUACCCCGGUAGUC